UACGGGGGGAGCAAGCGUUGUUCGGAUUUAUUGGGCGUAAAGAGCUCGUAGGCGGUUUGUCGCGUCGUCUGUGAAAACCCACGGCUCAACUGUGGGCUUGCAGUCGAUACGGGCAGGCUAGAGUUCGGUAGGGGAGACUGGAAUUCCUGGUGUAGCGGUGAAAUGCGCAGAUAUCAGGAGGAACACCGGUGGCGAAGGCGGGUCUCUGGGCCGAUACUGACGCUGAGGAGCGAAAGCGUGGGGAGCGAACAGG
This 253-nucleotide ribosomal RNA is filed under the name uncultured bacterium. RNAcentral's name for it is "partial 16S ribosomal RNA". It matches the Rfam family "Bacterial small subunit ribosomal RNA", at positions 524 to 776 of the family's 1533-position model. The record is from RNAcentral.